ACUGACCACAAAAUAUAAACACACACACACAGUGCACGCAUUUUACGCACAGGAGAAAGAACUCGUGAAGCUUCAAAUUCUUUUCUUCUGUCAAAUCAUUUUCCGUUAGGCUUCAAAUUCCUUUCUCCAAUGGCCUCCUCAAUUUCAACCCAUAGCCUAUUGGUAGUUCGUUCAUCUCGUUCGUCGUCGUAUCCACCUUCUCCCCCAAUAUUUUCCCUCGAAAAUUCAAAGAGAAAGUGUAAUAAUCACACCAAAUUCCCAACUGGGGUUAGAAAAAUAAACAGAAAAUGCAGAGCUAUGGUGCAGCAAACUGUACAAGGCCCCUCCGCCGCGUACGCCAAAGAAAUGGAAAGACUCUCCGCUAAGGAAUCUCUUCUUCUCGCUUUCAAAGAUGCCGGAGGAUUCGAGGGUUUGAUCACUGGAAAAACAACAGAUAUGCAGCAAAUUGACGUGAACGAGAGAAUAGUCGGCCUUGAGAAGCUGAAUCCAACUCCUCGACCAACAACGUCUCCUUAUCUAGAAGGUCGUUGGAAUUUCGAGUGGUUCGGUUCUGGAAGCCCCGGAUUAGCUGCUGCUAAAUUUUUGUUCGAGAGGUUUCCUCUUGCAAUUGCAAAUUUAUCGAAACUGGAUGUGGUGAUCAAGGAUGGAUACGCAAAGAUAUCCGCAAGUGUGAAAUUGUUCAAUUCGAUAGAAAGCAGUUUUAUUGUGUCGACGAAGCUAUCUGUGGAGGGCCCACUUCGUAUGAAAGAGGAAUACAUCGAAGGAUUAUUCGAAUCCCCGAAAGUCAACGAGGAAUCGAUACCUGAACAGCUGAGAGGUACUUUUGGUCAAGCUGUUAGUACAAUGCAGCAGCUCCCCGUUCCGAUUAAGGACGCAGUGGCCGGUGGACUUAAGGUUCCUCUCGGUGGGUCCGUAUCGAGGCUGUUUAUGAUUUCUUAUCUCGACGAAGAGAUCCUAAUUAUAAGAGAUAGUUCUGGAGUACCUGAAGUUCUUACAAGAUUAGAUCCAGGACCAUCACCACUUGCAGAACCAAUCACCGAAUACGAAAGUUGAAUACCGAAGAAAAACAAACGGUAAAAAAUAAAGUACGAAACAACGAAGCUCCCGACUUAUAUUGCCUGAAGAGCAAACCGAGGAGUGGUUGAUGCAAGUAGUAAAGGGUUGUUUUCGAAGUUGGUUUCGAAGGCUUUCUCUUUUCAAAUCUCUUUGUUCACAUUUGUUUCUGCAUAUUUAAGUGAAAAAAAAAACAAGAAAAAAGAAAACCGAAAUUCGAAACAUUAUUUAUUGACUAGAUUGCAUUUUCCUUCUACUAUAGUUAAUAUAUUUGAAGUUCAGACUCUGUUGAAUGUGAACACGAAAAAACGCUACUAGAAUGAAACGUGUUUUACUUCAUUUGA
Non-coding RNA from Erythranthe guttata (spotted monkey flower), 1397 nucleotides. NCBI's taxonomy places the organism in Eukaryota, Viridiplantae, Streptophyta, Magnoliopsida, Lamiales, Phrymaceae. The record is from RefSeq and is a predicted model, not a curated record.